AACGAACGCUGGCGGCAGGCCUAACACAUGCAAGUCGAACGCUCCGCAAGGGGAGUGGCGCACGGGUGAGUAACACGUGGGAACCUACCUUCUGGUACGGAACAACCAAGGGAAACUUUGGCUAAGACCGUAUACGACCUCCGGGUGAAAGAUUGAUCGCCGGAAGAGGGGCCCGCGUCCGAUUAGGUAGUUGGUGAGGUAACGGCUCACCAAGCCUUCGAUCGGUAGCUGGUCUGAGAGGAUGACCAGCCACACUGGGACUGAGACACGGCCCAGACUCCUACGGGAGGCAGCAGUCGGGAAUUUUGCGCAAUGGACGAAAGUCUGACGCAGCAACGCCGCGUGAGGAUGACGGCCU
RNAcentral lists this ribosomal RNA (358 nucleotides) under uncultured bacterium. Its description in RNAcentral is "bacterial SSU rRNA". It matches the Rfam family "Bacterial small subunit ribosomal RNA", at positions 29 to 417 of the family's 1533-position model. The record is from RNAcentral.